Long non-coding RNA from Pezoporus flaviventris, 2515 nucleotides. RefSeq lists it as uncharacterized. Lineage: Eukaryota; Metazoa; Chordata; Aves; Psittaciformes; Psittacidae. The transcript is spliced from 2 exons. The record is from RefSeq and is a predicted model, not a curated record.
CACAUAGGACAACCACAACUUUUUAUUUAUUUCUCAAAGAAAAAGGUUUUUGCUUCCUUUUACUGGUGGAGACAGGGCACAUUUAUAAUGACAGAGAACCCCACUUUGGGGAGGGCUCCUGCAGUGGGCAGGAGGCUUUGGAGGGACCUGCUGGGGAAGCCCUGGUGCAGGGAACCCCACUGAGGUUGCUGAAUGCCUGUGACAGGUGGUUUCAGCCACUACUCUGGUGGAGGAACACAUCUGCUGAGGCCUGUCUUGAUCUUUGUGUCUUUGUCAGGACAUAUCAGUAGGCAUGUUAACUUGGCCAUGGGAAUACAGACUCUUGGUCCUAUUUAUGGACUUCACCUAUAAGGGGAUUUUCAGUUCAAUGAGUAUCCCAGAUAAUACCUCAUGUCAAAUACAACUUCCUGUCUGUAAGAGUGGGUGUCUCUACUGCCUGCCUGGAUGGCAAAGCACUCUAUCAAUGAUGGGAUAAAGAUUAACUAAAAAUGAAAGUAAUUGGGUUUUCUCUAGCUUCUUCUCUGUUUCUUUCACAAGUUGCUCUUAGGCACCAGAGCCCCUCUUUGAGAUGGAAAUAGUUACUGUGCUUCUCUCUUGGCAGUUUGGUCUAGUUGGUAACUGGAGUCUUCUCAUUUGGCAAGCUAUUCUCAGGGUUCCCACGUUGCACUCGUUCUUGCAUUUUCCAUUCCCUUAUUACUUUCCUAAUAACUGCUUCUCAGGCCUCCUCUUCCUUUAAUAUUUUCUUGUGUGUUUGGCUGGGCUUCUCUGCAUUUUUGGUAUGGCGUACGAUGUGCCAUCGCUGGAACAAGAUGUCACAGCUUUUCAGCUGCUGGGCUUGGGGUUGCUCAUUCAGAACGCUUUGCUUCAGUUGCCUGUUUCAGCUCUCUCCACGAGAGCUUUAACUCUGGUUUAUGGGGGGUCUCUGCUAUAGCAGCGACAUUCUGGAACGGAAGAUGCCUCGUCUGGUAAACAGUUGCUAGUAUCUUGGCUACAGUGAGACACCUUUCUCAGCUGGAGUCGCUGGAGCUUUGUGGUCUGGAGUCUCUACUCUGGCUUGCGGUUCAUUCAGGCUCUCUUCUGCUUCUUGCUCCUGGCUGGAUAUAUUCCCUUGUUUGCUCUAGCUCAUCACCUUAAGGAAUCUCAGUAGUCUAUACAGUCAUUUGUGGUUUGGUAUUUUUGUCAGUCCUGACUGUCAUGCCAAUUUUUGCUCUGUAGCCUGGACCUCUUAAGUUUUGUCCCCUGCACCCACAGCAUCUCUCCUUUCCUCCUUCAGCCUCUUCUGCUCAGAAGUUUUUGUGUGUUGGUCUUGUAAGGCAGAAAAAUCCUCUCUGCUCUGAAUUCUUCAGAAUAUAAAUUUAUGUUAACUGUCUCCUUAUUUUGCUAGUAAAAAAUUAGAAUGGAUAGGAUUAACCUAAAAAGUAAGCAAUUGUGCUUUUCAAAGGCAUUUCAAGAUUUUAGGCCUAUUCAAGACUGGAGAAUACCGACUCUCAAAAACGUCUUCUAUCAGAAGGGCAAAUCAGUUCUCCAAAGGGAACUGAAUGGCAGUGUGGAUCUUCUGCCAAAAGUUCCUAAUACUGGGACUGUACCAGGAAACUUGUGUGGGUCCUGUUCUGCUCUUACUCAAGUCAAAGGUAAAGUUCCUAUUGACUGCAGCAGGAUAAGGCUCAGGCUUCAACACUCAGUCCUCACAUUCCCAUGUUGCACAUUUUCUUUCAAAUUCUUAUUCAUUUUUUUUCUUUAAUUUUAGGCUCUGGCAGUAUACCAAUCAUUGCUUUCUCCUGUACAUUUUCUGGAAGGAAAAUCAGAGAUAGGAAUCAUUUCCCUCGCCUCUUAUACUGUUCAAGAGUAGCUCCUGUUCUGUGCCCCAAAGUGUGGCUGGAACUCAGCAGCUGUAAUCUGGAGUGACAGAUGAGCAAGUCUGAUCAUAAAAAGAGGGGAAAAAAAAACCAACAAACUGCUGGAAAAGGAGCAAGUAAACAGAAGAAAAGCUUGUAGUCGUGUCAGAAAGGCAAGAAGUGAUAUCUCAAAAGAAUUACUUUUGCAUUUCAGUAAUCCCUUGGUUUACUUGGAGAGAUAAAAGAAAUUGUGGAUAGGCUGUGGUCAAGCUGGAGACAGCAAACAUGAAAAAUGGGAUCUCGGGACAUUUACCAUGGGAAAUGAAACUCCAGCAUCACUGUGUUGCAAUGAGUGUUAAUGCAUCCGGAGCUUAAGUGUCUUACUUGUAAGUAUACAGACUGCUAUAUAUAGCACUGGAAAUAAACACUCGUAAUCUGAUAGCUUCAAACAUAGUAGGUUUCAUGUAUUAGGCUGUAAGAACACAUGGAAGAAGCAAGUGUAAGAAUAAACCUGAUAGUGAUUUUUUUGCUAUGAAGCAAAGCCUACUCCACACAUGACAUCUUAUUUAAGAGCUUGAUAGAUUUCAUGGAAUGGCACCAAACCAUUCCAAACCCAAUCUGUAAUGUACAUCUUAGUUCAUCUUAAUGCUAAUAAAACCUAAAUGAAAUACGACACUGCA